AUAACAGAAGCCACCCACUUAACGGCGAGUGAACAGGGAAAAGCUCACAGUUGGAACCUCCUGGCCCUAGGCCUGGCGGAUUGUAAACUAAAGCUUUCGAGUAGUUCGGCUAGCCCAGUAAAUAAGUUCUCUGGAAAGGGACGACAAAGAGGGUGAAAUCCCCGUUUUUGGCUGGAGCAUAGUCUUGCGUUUGCUUGGAAGUGAAGAGUCAGGUUGUUUGGUAUUGCAGCCUAAAGUUGGAGGUAAAUCUCUCCUAAAGCUAAAUAUUGACGAAAGACCGAUAGCGAACAAGUACCGUGAGGGAAAGAUGAAAAGCACCUUGAAAAGGGGGUCAAAAAGUACGUGAAAUUGCUGAAAGGGAACCGUAUGAAAUCAGCCUGUCUCUUUGGUAAUCAGCCUGGACUUUGGUCUGGGUGCACUUGCCAGUGAGUCAGCCUACGACAAUUUGACCUGGGGGAAAAAAUCAGGGGGAAUGUGGCCUCGGCUUCGGUUGAGGUGUUAUAGCCCCUUGAAAAAUACUCUGGGUUGGAUUGAGGACUGCAGCGAGCCUUAUGGGAUGAACUGUGGGUGCUUGGUCAUAUCUAGAAAGAAAUCUCUAUCUCUGGUAGUGUCUUUUUAGUUGUGGUCAACUCGCCUACUUUUUCUUUUCUCGCUUAG
Molecule: ribosomal RNA, 657 nt
Filed under: Absidia koreana
Lineage: Eukaryota; Fungi; Mucoromycota; Mucoromycetes; Mucorales; Cunninghamellaceae
Description: eukaryotic LSU rRNA
Rfam family: Eukaryotic large subunit ribosomal RNA
Source: RNAcentral